UAAAUCUCAUGCCACUCUCAGU
Molecule: non-coding RNA, 22 nt
Filed under: Arabidopsis thaliana (thale cress)
Lineage: Eukaryota; Viridiplantae; Streptophyta; Magnoliopsida; Brassicales; Brassicaceae
Source: RNAcentral